This 462-nucleotide long non-coding RNA is filed under the name Homo sapiens (human). RNAcentral describes it as "long non-coding RNA NONHSAT143596.2". The record is from RNAcentral. Lineage: Eukaryota; Metazoa; Chordata; Mammalia; Primates; Hominidae.
AAACUCCCUGCUAGAGAGACUAGGAGAUUUGGGGCUGCGGCCGUUUCCUCCGGAGCACCCACGGGACUGUGUGCUGGGGUCCCUCCACCGGCUGUGUCCUUUAUUCUUCUUUCUCACCCAACGAUUUACCUGAACGGUUAUAAAGUGCACGUUAUUUCCCUAAGGUCCUUCUUACUGAUGUGUUGCUCUUCUUCAUGGCUCGUGAAAACUAUUAGAGUCAUCCAAGGUUUGGAGACAGAAAGGAGCACCGCCAAGUGAGGCAGAGCAGUCUCAGAAACAUAGGAAAAUGGUGGGAAGAGAGAUCAGCAACGUUAACUGGGUGUCAAGAAAACAUACCGAGAUUGAAGCCAUCCACUUCUGCAGGAACACCGAAAAGAAAGCUUACAAUCUGAAGGUGUCCGUUCCUACACUGGUCAGACCACUGUCCUUGGGGCAGCUGGGGUCUUUGGGACCCUCCACCGG